UACACAUGCAAGUCGAGCGGAGCGCGGGGCAACUGGCGGCGAGCGGCGAACGGGUGAGUAACAUAUCGGAACGUGUCCUUUAGUGGGGGAUAACGCAGCGAAAGCUGUGCUAAUACCGCAUACGAUCGGGAGAUGAAAGCGGGGGAUCGCAAGACCUCGCGCUAAAGGAGUGGCCGAUAUCAGAUUAGCUAGUUGGUGAGGUAAAGGCUCACCAAGGCGACGAUCUGUAGCUGGUCUGAGAGGAUGAUCAGCCACACUGGAACUGAGACACGGUCCAGACUCCUACGGGAGGCAGCAGUGGGGAAUUUUGGACAAUGGGGGCAACCCUGAUCCAGCCAUUCCGCGUGAGUGAAGAAGGCCUUCGGGUUGUAAAGCUCUUUUGUCGGGGACGAAACGGUUACGAUUAAUACUCGUGACAACUGACGGUACCCGAAGAAUAAGCACCGGCUAACUACGUGCCAGCAGCCGCGGUAAUACGUAGGGUGCGAGCGUUAAUCGGAAUUACUGGGCGUAAAGCGUGCGCAGGCGGUUUUGUAAGCCAGAUGUGAAGUCCCCGGGCUUAACCUGGGAAUGGCAUUUGGAACUGCAAGGCUAGAGUAUGGCAGAGGAGACUAGAAUUUCUGGUGUAGCAGUGAAAUG
Molecule: ribosomal RNA, 639 nt
Filed under: uncultured bacterium
Lineage: Bacteria
Description: bacterial SSU rRNA
Rfam family: Bacterial small subunit ribosomal RNA
Source: RNAcentral